GUGCGUUCGACGUUUAAUGUUGACAGAAACAACACCUCUCUUUUUAGUAUUUCUUAUCAGAUUGCCCCAUACAUGUUUAUUCUGAAAAUGAAUUGGAUGUACUUUUUAAUUUCAACAAUAUGAUGCAACUUCGGCAGAUUGUCGAAAUGAGUUCAUGAGUGCGUUUGGAUCCUGUUAUCACUUCGGAAAUGUAUCGAUGACGUUCAUUGAAGCGGAGCGUUAUUGUCGAGAACAUGGCGGACAUCUGGUUCACAUCGACUCAGCUCAAGAGAACAACUACAUAAACACUAUGCUGUUGCACUAACAUGUAGGUAUCAGAAUUGCAAAAGAAAACACCAUUUAGUUCAUGAGUAAAAAUUGUGUACGUUAAGACAAAUCGUGAAAAGCCGUAUUGGAUUAAAACGAUUAACCAAAUAUACUUACGACGUAUAUACCGUCCAAAAAUAAAGGGGGAUUAACAGUGGUAGUGGAAUCACCUCAGUCGUCUGUUCGUCAGUCUGUUCGUGUGUCUGUACAAUUAACCUUGUUAAAAAUAUGUUGCUACAUUGUGUUUGUACAAAGUUCAAACGUGUU
Molecule: long non-coding RNA, 573 nt
Organism: Dreissena polymorpha
Lineage: Eukaryota; Metazoa; Mollusca; Bivalvia; Myida; Dreissenidae
Exons: 3
Source: RefSeq, a predicted model, not a curated record